This 409-nucleotide ribosomal RNA is filed under the name uncultured Gemmata sp. RNAcentral describes it as "bacterial SSU rRNA". It matches the Rfam family "Bacterial small subunit ribosomal RNA", at positions 353 to 772 of the family's 1533-position model. Lineage: Bacteria; Pseudomonadati; Planctomycetota; Planctomycetia; Gemmatales; Gemmataceae. The record is from RNAcentral.
AGUCGAGGAUCUUCGGCAAUGGGGGCAACCCUGACCGAGCGAUGCCGCGUGGGCGACGAAGGCCUUCGGGUUGUAAAGCCCUGUCGAGGGGGAGAAAGCCGCAAGGCGGAUCCAUCCCUGGAGGAAGCUCGGGCUAAGUUCGUGCCAGCAGCCGCGGUAAGACGAACCGAGCGAACGUUGUUCGGAAUCACUGGGCUUAAAGGGCGCGUAGGCGGGCUGCCGCGUCCGGGGUGAAAUCCCACGGCUCAACCGUGGAACGGCCCCGGGUACGGGCGGCCUCGAGGGGGGUAGGGGCGUGCGGAACUGUGGGUGGAGCGGUGAAAUGCGUUGAGAUCCACAGGAACUCCGGUGGCGAAGGCGGCACGCUGGACCCUCUCUGACGCUGAGGCGCGAAAGCCAGGGGAGCGAA